GACCGAUUCAACUGAAAACUUUAAGAUGUCAACGAGACGAACCAUCGACACAGACAAUGCAUUAGAGAGGUCACCUACCUCCCGGUGAACAAUGAGCCAUGAAGACCUUUCAGCUAAAAAUGAAUCAACCGGAAACGAUAGUAUGCAACAUAGAACUUGCUUAGAGAUUAUAGUUAAUUCAUAAUAAGCAGUUUUGAUGUGAUUGAGAAUUUGGGUGGAUUGGUCAUCAAAGUCUUGGUUUUCUUUACGGGCUAGGUACAUGGAACUCCGUUUUAAGCUUGUUGAGGAACCUUUUCGG
Molecule: non-coding RNA, 298 nt
Organism: Schizosaccharomyces pombe (fission yeast)
Lineage: Eukaryota; Fungi; Ascomycota; Schizosaccharomycetes; Schizosaccharomycetales; Schizosaccharomycetaceae
Source: the annotation of a GenBank genome assembly